Molecule: ribosomal RNA, 407 nt
Filed under: uncultured bacterium
Lineage: Bacteria
Description: partial 16S ribosomal RNA
Rfam family: Bacterial small subunit ribosomal RNA
Source: RNAcentral
GACGAACGCUGACGGCGUGCCCUAUACAUGCAAGUAGGACUCAGUUGGGAACGGGUGAGUAACGCGUAGGUCACUGCCUACUAGCGGGGGACAACUAUUGGAAACGAUAGCUAAUAUCGCAUACUACUAGAUGGACAUGCGUUGUAUUAGCUAGUAGGUGGGGUAAUGGCCUACCUAGGCGACGAUACAUACCCGACCUGAGAGGGUGAACGGCCACACCGGUACUGAGACGCGCCCCAGACGCCUACGGGAGGCAGCAGUAGGGAAGCGUCGGCAAUGGGGGGUACCCUGACCUGGCAACGCCGCGUGAGGGAAGAAGGUUUUCGGAGCGUAAAGCUCUGUUGUUCAUGAAGCGGUACUUAACCAAAAAGGGACGGCUAACUACGUGCCAGCAGCCGCGGUAAUAC